This 486-nucleotide ribosomal RNA is filed under the name uncultured bacterium. RNAcentral's name for it is "partial 16S ribosomal RNA". It matches the Rfam family "Bacterial small subunit ribosomal RNA", at positions 28 to 507 of the family's 1533-position model. The record is from RNAcentral.
GACGAACGCUGGCGGCGUGCUUAACACAUGCAAGUCGAACGCUGAAGACCUGGCUUUUGUUGGGUUGGAUGAGUGGCGAACGGGUGAGUAACACGUGAGUAACCUGCCCUCUUCUUUGGGAUAACGCCCGGAAACGGGUGCUAAUACUGGAUAUUCACUGUUCUUCGCAUGGGGGUUGGUGGAAAGGUUUGUUCUGGUGGGGGAUGGGCUCGCGGCCUAUCAGCUUGUUGGUGGGGUGAUGGCCUACCAAGGCUUUGACGGGUAGCCGGCCUGAGAGGGUGACCGGUCACAUUGGGACUGAGAUACGGCCCAGACUCCUACGGGAGGCAGCAGUGGGGAAUAUUGCACAAUGGGCGAAAGCCUGAUGCAGCGACGCCGCGUGAGGGAUGGAGGCCUUCGGGUUGUAAACCUCUUUCGCUCAUGGUCAAGCCGCAACUGUGGGUUGUGGUGAGGGUAGUGGGUAAAGAAGCGCCGGCUAACUACGUG